RNAcentral lists this long non-coding RNA (1734 nucleotides) under Amphibalanus amphitrite. RNAcentral describes it as "uncharacterized LOC122389614". Lineage: Eukaryota; Metazoa; Arthropoda; Thecostraca; Balanomorpha; Balanidae. The record is from RNAcentral.
UUUUUCACAAAACCACGAAAACAACUCGACAACCUAAACAAAAUUCGACAUUCUUGUGCAGUAGUGAUUCAAGGGUAGAAUCGACGGUUUAUUUAGUACUGGUAACGGCGAUUUACCGUUAAUGUUCUCAUUCAUUUGCUUUUUUGUACUUUUUUAUUGUGAUUCAUAGUCUUCGAAUAUACAAGGAAAAAGCUGUAACCAGAGAAAGACGCAACUUUGUGACGCUGAGGGCUUUAAAUGACUGGAAUGCUCUUCCAGAAAGAGUGGUUACUGCCCCCAACCCUUAGCGAAUUUAAGAAAGAAAUCGACCAGCUUUGGGCAACGUCUCAGUUCAAGCAUUGAAAUAGUUUGACUGAUGCAUCGUCAAAAUCAGCCACAAAGUUGAAAAACAUCCAAACGAAGGAAUAUCGUGGAGAGAAAGUAAAAGUGAAAGCGAGGAAGUCGCAGGCCCUUUGCAAGGGGCCUCUUUCCAUGGACAACUUCAACUUCAACUUCAACUUCAACUUGAUUAGGAUUACGAAUGAGUUUGCGGAUUGGCGUUUUUUAUCGCGAAUUUGUGAGCUUAAAAAGUGAUGUGGCCCAGCGCGGUUCGCUGCGGCUACUGCCGAAAGGCGAUAUCAAAAUUGCAACUGUCUAGACACCGGAGAAGGCCAAGAUUACUUUACCGAGAAGGCUGCAUCCGUGGCUGCCUACGACCCGGCCCGGCCGGCACCGCUAAAGCGAAGGACAACCGGCUGAUGGUAUCCUUCGCCAGUGGAGCUGCUGUUUCUGGAGCUGCUGCUUCUGCUGCCCCAGUUAUAGCGAGAGACGCCAGCCCCCUGGACCAGCCGCUGGCUGCUGUCGCCAGCAUGGAAGUGACCACGACACCGACAGGGGCCGGUUCGGUGCAGGCACACCAGCUUGCCCCGACACUGACGAGUGACGGUGGUUUUCCCGUCGCCCCUGAUGGCGGCGAGGGGCCAGCCAGACCCGUCGAUGCGGCGACCGCGGUACCAACUGACGCUGUCGAGCAAGAGCGCGCACAUUUCACUGGUACUGCAUCGCAGUGUCGCCACCAUGCACGGAGGACGUCAGAGGACGGCCCGUCAGUCUUCACGGCCAGUGCGCUGGGCCGGCACGGGUCACACGCUCGGUGAAGUAGCUGGCCUGCGCACGCAGCUCGACAUCAUCUGUGGUGUCAUCCCAGCCUUUCUUCAGAUCAUUCACUCGCCGCUUCAGCCACGCCACCGCCGGCCGCAGUCAUCCGGCCACGGAGGAUAAGUGAUAGGCCGACCACACCACAAGAACAGUGCUCUCCGUGUAAAUAUCACGACCGGAAGUGCGCGAGCUACUGACUGGGAGAUGGCGCUCGCGCUGACGCUGUUUCCUCGACGUUUAUGCAGCUCCUGGCGAGGUGACCGGUCUUGCUACAGGUCUAAUAACGCCGUGCCCGGUCCGCCGUGGACCCUGACCGACCCGCCGGUGUCUUGGCGUCUCGCCUCACACCCGCUGCUGCAGAGAACACGUUCGUCACUCAACACUGCCCGCGCCAGGAUGCUGGCCAGAUCCAGGCCUUCUGCGCGCGUGUCGGCCCGAAUUGUGCUGCUAACGGCGUCUGGUAGCCCGGCGAUGAAAGUACUGGCGAUGAAAGCACCUACCCGAAUGCAAGCCGAAUGCAGCAAAAGAUGCUCCUCCAAGUGUGGAAACCGAGCGUCGUGCGCGCUCGAAAUUUUAAUACAACCAAUUUUUGCAGGC